GACGAACGCUGGCGGCGUGCUUAACACAUGCAAGUCGAACGGUAAGGCCCUGCUUUUGUGGGGUGCUUGAGUGGCGAACGGGUGAGUAACACGUGAGUAACCUGCCCUCUACUUUGGGAUAACGUCCGGAAACUGGUGCUAAUACUGGAUAGUCGCUCCUCUUCCCUUGUGGGUUGGUGAAAGGUUCUGUGGUUGGGGAUGGUCAGCCGGCUUGUGAGCUGGUUGUUGGGGUAGUGGUUUACUACGACUUCGACGGAUAGUCGGCCCGGGAGGGUGACGGGUGAGAUAGGGACUAGAAUACGACCGGGAGUAGUAGGGGAGGAAGCAGUGGGGAGGAUUGAAGAAUGAGGGGGAGACUGAGGCAGAAGCGCGGCGGGCGGGAUGACGGCAUUCGGGUUGUAAACCGCUUAAGCCGGUGAAAAAGCGGGAGUGACGGUAAUGGGUAAAGAAGCACCGGCUAACUACGUG
RNAcentral lists this ribosomal RNA (468 nucleotides) under uncultured bacterium. Its description in RNAcentral is "partial 16S ribosomal RNA". It matches the Rfam family "Bacterial small subunit ribosomal RNA", at positions 28 to 507 of the family's 1533-position model. The record is from RNAcentral.